RNAcentral lists this ribosomal RNA (468 nucleotides) under uncultured bacterium. Its description in RNAcentral is "partial 16S ribosomal RNA". It matches the Rfam family "Bacterial small subunit ribosomal RNA", at positions 28 to 507 of the family's 1533-position model. The record is from RNAcentral.
GACGAACGCUGGCGGCGUGCUUAACACAUGCAAGUCGAACGGAAAGGCCCUGCUUUUGUGGGGUGCUCGAGUGGCGAACGGGUGAGUAACACGUGAGUAACCUGCCCUUGACUUUGGGAUAACUUCAGGAAACUGGGGCUAAUACCGGAUAGGAGCUCCUGCUGCAUGGUGGGGGUUGGAAAGUUUCGGCGGUUGGGGAUGGACUCGCGGCUUAUCAGCUUGUUGGUGGGGUAGUGGCUUACCAAGGCUUUGACGGGUAGCCGGCCUGAGAGGGUGACCGGCCACAUUGGGACUGAGAUACGGCACAUACUCCUACGGGAGGCAGCAGUGGGGAAUAUUGCACAAUGGGCGGAAGCCUGAUGCAGCAACGCCGCGUGCGGGAUGACGGCCUUCGGGUUGUAAACCGCUUUCGCCUGUGACGAAGCGUGAGUGACGGUAAUGGGUAAAGAAGCACCGGCUAACUACGUG